UACGUAGGGUGCAAGCGUUGUCCGGAAUUAUUGGGCGUAAAGAGCUCGUAGGCGGUUUGUCGCGUCUGCUGUGAAAUCCCGAGGCUCAACCUCGGGCUUGCAGUGGGUACGGGCAGACUAGAGUGCGGUAGGGGAGAUUGGAAUUCCUGGUGUAGCGGUGGAAUGCGCAGAUAUCAGGAGGAACACCAAUGGCGAAGGCAGAUCUCUGGGCCGUAACUGACGCUGAGGAGCGAAAGCGUGGGGAGCGAACAGG
Molecule: ribosomal RNA, 253 nt
Filed under: uncultured bacterium
Lineage: Bacteria
Description: partial 16S ribosomal RNA
Rfam family: Bacterial small subunit ribosomal RNA
Source: RNAcentral